This 440-nucleotide ribosomal RNA is filed under the name uncultured bacterium. Its description in RNAcentral is "partial 16S ribosomal RNA". It matches the Rfam family "Bacterial small subunit ribosomal RNA", at positions 338 to 795 of the family's 1533-position model. The record is from RNAcentral.
CCUACGGGAGGCAGCAGUGGGGAAUAUUGCACAAUGGGGGAAACCCUGAUGCAGCGACGCCGCGUGAGUGAAGAAGGCUUUCUGUAUGUAAAGCUCUAUCAGCAGGGGAGAAAAUGACGGUACCUGAUUCAGAAGCCCCGGCUCACGACGUGCCAGCAGCGGCGGUCAUACGGAGGGGGCAAGCGUUAUCCGGAUUUACUGGGUGGAAAGGGGGCGUAUACGGCAGCAGAAGUCUGGAGGGAAAUGCCGGGGCUUAACCCCGGAACUGCUUUGGAAACUGUGGAGCUAGAGUGCAGGAGAGGUAAGUGGAAUUCCUAGUGUAGCGGUGAAAUGCGUAGAUAUUAGGAGGAACACCAGUGGCGAAGGCGGCUUACUGGACUGUAACUGACGUUGAGGCUCGAAAGCGUGGGGAGCAAACAGGAUUAGAUACCCUAGUAGUC